GACGAACGCUGGCGGCGUGCCUAAUACAUGCAAGUAGAACGCUGAAGGAGGAGCUUGCUUCUCUGGAUGAGUUGCGAACGGGUGAGUAACGCGUAGGUAACCUGCCUGGUAGCGGGGGAUAACUAUUGGAAACGAUAGCUAAUACCGCAUAAGAGUAGAUGUCGCAUGACAUUUGCUUAAAAGGUGCAAUUGCAUCACUACCAGAUGGACCUGCGUUGUAUUAGCUAGUUGGUGAGGUAACGGCUCACCAAGGCAACGAUACAUAGCCGACCUGAGAGGGGGAUCGGCCACACUGGGACUGGGACACGGCCCAGACUCCUACGGGAGGCAGCAGUAGGGAAUCUUCGGCAAUGGACGGAAGGCUGACCGAGCAACGCCGCGUGAGUGAAGAAGGUUUUCGGAUCGUAAAGCUCUGUUGUAAGAGAAGAACGAGUGUGAGAGUGGAAGGUUCACACUGUGACGGUAGCUUACCAGAAAGGGACGGCUAACUACGUG
RNAcentral lists this ribosomal RNA (495 nucleotides) under uncultured bacterium. RNAcentral's name for it is "partial 16S ribosomal RNA". It matches the Rfam family "Bacterial small subunit ribosomal RNA", at positions 28 to 507 of the family's 1533-position model. The record is from RNAcentral.